This 320-nucleotide ribosomal RNA is filed under the name uncultured Prevotella sp. RNAcentral describes it as "bacterial SSU rRNA". It matches the Rfam family "Bacterial small subunit ribosomal RNA", at positions 28 to 339 of the family's 1533-position model. The record is from RNAcentral. Lineage: Bacteria; Pseudomonadati; Bacteroidota; Bacteroidia; Bacteroidales; Prevotellaceae.
GAUGAACGCUAGCUACAGGCUUAACACAUGCAAGUCGAGGGGCAGCAUUGAGAUAGCUUGCUAUUUCAGAUGGCGACCGGCGCACGGGUGAGUAACGCGUAUCCAACCUUCCCCUUAGUAGGGGAUAGCCCGGCGAAAGUCGGAUUAAUACCCUAUGUUGUUCGUCGAGGACAUCUGAAGUGAACCAAAGAUUUAUCGCUAAGGGAUGGGGAUGCGUCUGAUUAGGUUGCAGGCGGGGUAACGGCCCACCUGGCCUACGAUCAGUAGGGGUUCUGAGAGGAAGGUCCCCCACAUUGGAACUGAGACACGGUCCAAACUCC